GACGAACCGUGCGAACGUUGUUCGGAAUCACUGGGCUUAAAGGGCGCGUAGGCGGGCCCUCAAGUCCGGGGUGAAAUCCUCCCGCCUAACGGGAGAAGAGCCUCGGAGACUGAGGGCCUCGAGGGGGGUAGGGGCGUGCGGAACUAUGGGUGGAGCGGUGAAAUGCAUUGAUAUCCAUAGGAACUCCGGUGGCGAAGGCGGCACGCUGGACCCCUUCUGACGCUGAGGCGCGAAAGCCAGGGGAGCAAAC
RNAcentral lists this ribosomal RNA (250 nucleotides) under uncultured archaeon. RNAcentral describes it as "partial 16S ribosomal RNA". It matches the Rfam family "Bacterial small subunit ribosomal RNA", at positions 524 to 773 of the family's 1533-position model. The record is from RNAcentral.